Hevea brasiliensis (rubber tree) is the source of this 767-nucleotide long non-coding RNA. RefSeq lists it as uncharacterized. The record is from RefSeq and is a predicted model, not a curated record. Lineage: Eukaryota; Viridiplantae; Streptophyta; Magnoliopsida; Malpighiales; Euphorbiaceae. The transcript has 2 exons.
CUCUUAUCAACGCUCUAAACCCAAAGGCCCAAACCCAUAGUGAAUGCCAUUCCAGACCACCCUUCUCCAAUGUCUCGCUUAAUUGGAACUGCUCAGAGUACACUCGUCUCUUCUCCUUCUUCGUUCCCAUUUCGUGGACUCCAAUGCCACAAUCACCAUUGUUCCCUUCCCCAACGGCGAAUUGCUAUUCCGUUUAAUGACUCUGAAGACAUUAAACUUGUGGAGGACAUUCAAUGACUCUGAAGACAUUAAACUUUAAGCGACAAUGUUUGAUGGGUAUGAAUCCGUUCCGAAUUCCGGAGAAGAUAGCUCAGGGAAAGAUGUGUGCUUUCACAUUAGCGUGCUUGUUGAGAUCUCUAAGAGGGUGGCGGCGAUGCAUUGGAGUUUAUGUGCUUGGCAUGGCCUGAUUGUUUAGAUAUUCAGAAAGCUUACUUACUUUUAGUCGUGGCAGUAUGCUGUCUAGGCCUUACACGGGACCUGAUUUUAUGAAUUUGAAUCCCGAGCUUCAGCAGAGAUUUCGGGAGUUCUUGGAGGCAAGGGGGGUAAAUGACAAACUUUCUGUUUUCUUGCAUGAAUAUAUGAUGAACAAGGAUUGAAUCGAACUUAUCCAAUGGUUUGGAAAGGUCAAGUUUUUCGUAGAAAAAUAGAGGGAUUUUUUUUACAGUGCAUUCUAUGAAACUGGUUGUUAAAGGAUUUGAUUCGAUGAAACUAGGGAUUACGCAAUGUCUAGCUAAUUUAAAGUGAAAUAUAAUAUGCCAAUUGUUGAA